Molecule: long non-coding RNA, 207 nt
Organism: Anguilla anguilla (European eel)
Lineage: Eukaryota; Metazoa; Chordata; Actinopteri; Anguilliformes; Anguillidae
Exons: 3
Source: RefSeq, a predicted model, not a curated record
CAGAACCACAGAUGUCAAAGGGGGACUGCCCCAGGAGAAGUCCCCAGGAAAAGAUUCACUCCCUGCCUGCAGUUCCAGGACAUGAAGCAGGUAUCCAGAGCCAGGCUCACAGACAGAAUGAAAGUGUGCACAACAAAAGGCAUCCGGACGCUACGGGCUGCUGGGCGUGUGGUGGUGGUGGUGGUGGCGGCGGUAGGAACAUCCGUG